RNAcentral lists this transfer RNA (72 nucleotides) under Camelus bactrianus (Bactrian camel). It matches the Rfam family "tRNA". From Rfam's summary of the family: Transfer RNA (tRNA) molecules are approximately 80 nucleotides in length. Their secondary structure includes four short double-helical elements and three loops (D, anti-codon, and T loops). The record is from Rfam by way of RNAcentral. Lineage: Eukaryota; Metazoa; Chordata; Mammalia; Artiodactyla; Camelidae. RNAcentral also lists the same sequence under 2 other names.
GAAGGUACAGCUUAGUGGUAGAGCGGGCACUUAGCACACAUGAGAUCCUGGGUUCGAUUCCCAGUACCUCCG